UAGAGUUUGAUCAUGGCUCAGAUUGAACGCUGGCGGCAUGCUUUACACAUGCAAGUCGAACGGCAGCGGAGGUGCUUGCACCUGCCGGCGAGUGGCGAACGGGUGAGUAAUGCAUCGGAACGUACCGAGUAAUGGGGGAUAACUUGCCGAAAGGUGGGCUAAUACCGCAUACGCCCUGAGGGGAAAGUGGGGGACCGCAAGGCCUCACGUUAUUCGAGCGGCCGAUGUCGGAUUAGCUGGUUGGUGGGGUAAAGGCCUACCAAGGCGACGAUCCGUAGCGGGUCUGAGAGGAUGAUCCGCCACACUGGGACUGAGACACGGCCCAGACUCCUACGGGAGGCAGCAGUGGGGAAUUUUGGACAAUGGGGGCAACCCUGAUCCAGCCAUGCCGCGUGAGUGAAGAAGGCCUUCGGGUUGUAAAGCUCUUUCGGUCGGGACAAAAGCGCACGUGUGAAUAGCAUGUGUGGAUGAUGGUACCGACACAAGAAGCACCGGCUAACUACGUGCCAGCAGCCGCGGUAAUACGUAGGGUGCGAGCGUUAAUCGGAAUUACUGGGCGUAAAGCGUGCGCAGGCGGUUUUCCAAGACAGGCGUGAAAUCCCCGGGCUUAACCUGGGAAUUGCGCUUGUGACUGGGAGGCUGGAGUACGGCAGAGGGGGGUGGAAUUCCACGUGUAGCAGUGAAAUGCGUAGAGAUGUGGAGGAACACCGAUGGCGAAAGGCAGCCCCCUGGGCCGAUACUGACGCUCAUGCACGAAAGCGUGGGGAGCAAACAGGAUUAGAUACCCUGAUAGUCCACGCCCUAAACGAUGUCGACUAGUUGUUCGGAGCGGUAACGCACUGAGUAACGUAGCUAACGCGUGAAGUCGACCGCCUGGGGGAGUACGGUCGCAAGAUUAAAACUCAAGGAAUUGACGGGGACCCGCACAGCGGUGGAUGAUGUGGAUUAAUUCGAUGCACGCGAAAAACCUUACCUACCCUUUGACAUGCCAGAGUCUGCAUAAGAUGCGGGGCGGUGCUCGGAGCUGGGCACAGUGCUGCCAUGGCCUGUCGUCAGCUCUGUCCUGGAAUGGUGGAUUAAGUCCGCAACGAGCCAUCCUGUCACUAGUGCAUCAUUAGUUGGCACCUCUA
Molecule: ribosomal RNA, 1130 nt
Filed under: uncultured Azoarcus sp.
Lineage: Bacteria; Pseudomonadati; Pseudomonadota; Betaproteobacteria; Rhodocyclales; Zoogloeaceae
Description: bacterial SSU rRNA
Rfam family: Bacterial small subunit ribosomal RNA
Source: RNAcentral